This 424-nucleotide ribosomal RNA is filed under the name uncultured prokaryote. RNAcentral's name for it is "bacterial SSU rRNA". It matches the Rfam family "Bacterial small subunit ribosomal RNA", at positions 355 to 796 of the family's 1533-position model. The record is from RNAcentral.
UGGGGAAUAUUGGACAAUGGGCGAAAGCCUGAUCCAGCCAUGCCGCGUGAGUGAUGACGGCCUUAGGGUUGUAAAGCUCUUUCAGUGGGGAAGAUAAUGACGGUACCCACAGAAGAAGCCCCGGCUAACUCCGUGCCAGCAGCCGCGGUAAUACGGAGGGGGCUAGCGUUGUUCGGAAUUACUGGGCGUAAAGCGCGCGUAGGCGGAUCUUUAAGUCAGAGGUGAAAUCCUGGAGCUCAACUUCAGAACUGCCUUUGAUACUGGAGAUCUUGAGUCCGGAAGAGGUUAGUGGAAUUCCCAGUGUAGAGGUGAAAUUCGUAGAUAUUGGGAAGAACACCAGUGGCGAAGGCGGCUAACUGGUCCGGUACUGACGCUGAGGUGCGAAAGCGUGGGGAGCAAACAGGAUUAGAUACCCGCGUAGUCC